AAGUCGUAACAAGGUUUCCGUAGGUGAACCUGCGGAAGGAUCAUUAACACGUUAUCCACGUUAUCAACCAAAUGCGAACUUGUUUUCACGUCUCCCUUUGCAAUUUGAAUGAAUUGGAACCAGUUUGAGGGAAUUGAUGUGGAUUGCAGUCAAAUGCAAUCGGCCUUCCUGGUAUACUUGCGAACACUGAAAAGUGAACGCUGACAAUUGUAUCUUAUUGAUUAAAAGGCCAAAUUUCUUUCGCUAUUUCGAUCUCACAUCAUGAUCAAUGGAAUAGCUUGAAGGAGAAACAAAUCAUAAACCAUUUUCACCACCUUUUUGCUAGUUGACUUUUUAUCUGUGAUCGUUUUGCUUUUUAGCAAUGCAGUCGCACGUUUAAAUUACUUGAACGUUAAAAAUAUACAACUCUUAGCAAUGGAUAUCUUGGUUCUC
Molecule: unclassified non-coding RNA, 432 nt
Filed under: fungal sp.
Lineage: Eukaryota; Fungi
Description: partial internal transcribed spacer region
Rfam family: Eukaryotic small subunit ribosomal RNA (bases 1-46)
Source: RNAcentral